GGUGUUGUGUGGGGCUAAUCCAGUUUCCUUGAUGUGGAGAAGAUCGAAAUUUGUUUUCCAAUGCUU
Molecule: transfer RNA, 66 nt
Filed under: Gigantidas platifrons
Lineage: Eukaryota; Metazoa; Mollusca; Bivalvia; Mytilida; Modiolidae
Description: tRNA-Ile
Source: RNAcentral